This 421-nucleotide unclassified non-coding RNA is filed under the name soil metagenome. Its description in RNAcentral is "partial contains 5.8S ribosomal RNA, internal transcribed spacer 2, and large subunit ribosomal RNA". The stretch from base 1 to 120 matches the Rfam family "5.8S ribosomal RNA", at positions 35 to 154 of the family's 154-position model. The record is from RNAcentral.
GAUGAAGAACGUAGCGAAAUGCGAUACGUAAUGUGAAUUGCAGAAUUCAGUGAAUCAUCGAAUCUUUGAACGCAUAUUGCACUCUUUGGUAUUCCGAAGAGCAUGCUUGUUUGAGUAUCAGUAAACACCUCAACCUCUUCUUGAUUUUUCAAAAGGAGGGUGGACUUGAGCUAUCCCAACAACCUUUACCGGUCGGCGGGCGGCUUGAAAUGCAGGUGCAGCUGGACUUUUAUCUGAGCUAAAAGCAUAUCUAUUUAGUCCUCGUCAAACAGGAUUAUUACUUUUGCUGCAGCUAACAUAAAGGAUAAUUGUCCUCUUUGCUGACUGAUGCAGGAUUUUACGACACUUUAUGUGUUGUUCAACUCGAUCUCAAAUCAAGUAAGACUACCCGCUGAACUUAAGCAUAUCAAUAAGCGGAGGA